GUAGGUGAGGUUCUUGAGCUGGCCGAGGAAGGAGGGGAUUGGGCCGGUGAGAUUGACCCAGUUGAUUCUCAAGAAUUUCAAGUAUUUGAGCUUGGUCAAGGACUUUGGGAUCGGGCCGGAGAAGUUCGAGACCUUAUGGAGGUUGAGGUAUUGGAGGUAGGGGAGGUCGCCAAUGGCGGAAGGGAUUUGGCCGGUGAGGUCGGCUUGGAGAAAGAAGAUGGAGAUGACGCGGUGGGUCACCUCGUCGCACUUGAGGCAGUACUAGGAGCAGCAGUCGGUGUCCGGGUCCCAGGAGGCGAGGUGGUAGGGGUUGUGGAGGGCGGACUUUAUGCGGAGGAGGACUUCCUUGUCCUCUGGGUGGCAGUCCGUGGCGGAGGCGGGGUGGAGAAGGGAGAGAGCGAGGAGGAGGAGGAGGAGGAGGCGGCGGCGGGCGGGAGACAUUGUGGAAGGCAGGGGUGGCGGCGACUCUUGGAUGAGCGAGGAAGGAGGCGUUGGAGAGUAGCAUUUAUAGGAGGAAGUUGUGCGUGGCGACACAGAAAGUAGCAUUUAUGGAGGAAUUGACUUUCACUUUUGAUUUUUUAUUGAUUCAUUUUGGAUGUAAACUUGUUGAAUUGAUAUUUUGACUAUUAUCUCAUGCAAAACACGACAUAUUUUAAAAAAAAAUUCACAUAUGGACAAGUAUAUAUAGAUUAUUUUCAAUAUUUUUGCAACUUCCAAUAACUUCAUUUUCAAUUUUUAUAGUGAAAGUCAUAGUUUUGAGUAAAAAUUAUUUGUCUAAGAAAGUCAAUUCUUGAGCCGUUUUAAUGGAAAAUGAAAUAAGUACUUGUGAGUUGUGAUAUCUAACACAUUGUUAAGCCACCCAGUAUCGCCAUUCAUUUACAGCUAUCAAGAGUAGCACCGCGCAAGCAACGGUUAUGGCGAGUAACCAGAGUUCUACAACCGCUCUCCCACCGGAAUCUCCCCGCACAACCUUUUGUAGCUCAAGUUCAAGAACUGCAGCAGCAGACCCUUCAUCGCAUCUGGCAUCGCCCCCUUAAAUCUUGUUACCGUUAAUGUCCAAUCAGCCACGUAUUGCUCUAGCUCAGCUCCACCUUCGACAGGUUGAGCUCAAAUAGGUUGCUCGAGAUGUCAAUGUAGUUGUUCAGUCUUGUUCACCCCAAACAGCCACGCUGUAUCUCCCCGCAGCCUGUUCUAGGACAGAUCGAGCUUCCUGAAGUUGGUCCCAGCGAAGGUCGCCCGAACCUCACCGUAGAGGUUGUGGGAGACGGUGGGACAUUGGUUGGUCGGGGUUAAAAACAAGUUGGGAGGAUGUGGCUUUGACCUUAAAAUGAAGUUUGAUCUGUAGAUUCUAGGUUAGAAAUUUCUAAGCUGGAAAUCAAGCCUUUCUCAAAUCAGCAGCCAUCAGCCCAGAUGGGAUCAUUUCAUCUGGGUCAUCACAUGAAUUUUAUUUAACAAUCCAAAAAUCCCACUUCAUAAAUAGAAAAUUUCUAUUUGUGUGAUCGAAGAUCCAGCUCUUCAUCUACGUGUGAGCGAUCGGGAGGGAUCUUAAACCCUGGGAGGAUCCCCUUUGUUGGAGAAAUCCUCUUGAAGUGUUUUGAAGUUGACAAAACGUUUCCAUCAGUCUAGUCUAAAGGCUUGCAGACUCUGCUAUUUAAAGUCUGAAGACCUCCGAACAGCCAGACUCAAGACUCAAAGUCUAUCCUCAUUGACAGUUUCUAAUCCGUUGAAGAAAUGCUAUCUAGAACUGGAUGUUUCAUUAAGGACGUGGCCUUAUCGACUGGAGAAGAUCUCUUGGCUGGAUAUGACAUAACGGAAUCCUUUAUUUGAUCAUAAUUGAUUCGAAGAUUAAGGAUCCGAUGAUUGACAAAGUAUAUUUGGAAGGUUCUACUUAUGGAAACCGAGAUCCUGAUUAUAUGGGCGAACAUGAUUGAUGGGCUAUCGACAUAUUCCUUUAAUAGCUCGAAUGAUCUUCCUAAUUGAUUCCGUUCAAUGGGUAGAUUGGAGGAAUUCCUUUGGUAAGUGCCAACGGGUAUGAUGGCAUGAAGGAGUAUAUAAGGAAGACGUUCCAGUUGUUCGAGUGUGUGCACGAUAGAAGAAUUCCAAAGUCCAAAGCUCCUUGUUCUUAGUCAAUUCAUUUGUUGAGCAAAAUCGUGUAAACAAAAGAGAGUCUAUAUUCGUGAGAAACCUUGAGGAAGUGUGGUAGAACAUCUACACUGUGGAAUCAAGGAAAAGCUGCGCUGUAACUUCUCUUUUGUUCAUAGUGAAAUCCAGUCGGUGGGCUGUCAGUGGGAAGAGUGGACGUAGGCUUGGAAUAAGCCGAACCACUAUAAAUCUUGUGUUCAAUUUUUCUCUUCCCUAACAUUUACUUAACUUUGAUCGUAUUUUCCUUUCUAUCGUUUGCCUAGAAAUCGCUUCCGGUAUCUCGAGAAUUUGUUUGNNNNNNNNNNNNNNNNNNNNNNNNNNNNNNNNNNNNNNNNNNNNNNNNNNNNNNNNNNNNNNNNNNNNNNNNNNNNNNNNNNNNNNNNNNNNNNNNNNNNNNNNNNNNNNNNNNNNNNNNNNNNNNNNNNUUGGUAGAAGGGCAAAGCAAUACCAGACCACCUUACUUUGAUGGAAAUGAUUACAAUAUAUGGAAAAACAAGAUGAAAGCGUUCCUAAGAUCAAAAGAUUCUCUAGAAUGGGACGUUGUAGAAAAAUGAAUCAUUCCUAAAGCUGCAUCUGUCUCAGAAAGAGGAAAAGAUGCUGUUGAGUCUAGCGAAAUGACUCAGGAAGAGAUAAUCAAGAGACAAGCUCUUGAUGCAAAAGCAAUUUAUUCCUUAUAUUGUACUUUAUCCCCUACUGAAUAUAACAUAAUAUCUUAUUGUAUUACAGCUAAAGAAGUCUGGGAUAGAUUACAUAUUACCUAUGAAGGAACCGAUCGAGUGAAAGAGACUAGAAUCAACAUUCUCCUCGUUCAAUAUGAAGCCUUCAAAAUGAAACCAGGAGAAUCUAUAACUAAUAUGUUUAGUCGUUUUAUAGAAAUCGUGAAUGGUCUUGAAAAUCAAGGUCAACCAAUUUCUGAUCCCAUGAAGGUAAACAAGCUACUGCGUGGACUCUCCAAGGAUUGGAAUCACAUAAAGACCUCAAUCAGAGAGACCCAAAGAAUCAUGCCACUAUUUGUUGAUGAGUUGGUUGGGACUCUUCAGUCUUAUGAAGUGGAACGAAUCAAUAAAGACGAAGACCCUAAAGGUAAGAAAUCCAUUGCAUUAAAAUCUAAUGAUGAUUCUGAUGUUACAGAUUCUGAAGACAAUAUGGAUGAUGAGGAACUUGCUCUCAUGAUAAGAAGAUUCGGAAAGCUUAAUAGAAAAGGAAGAAGAUUCAAUCCAAAUAAACAAAGUUUUCAAAAGCAACAGACUAAGUCUGUUGAGGAUGAUGAAUCAAACAAACAUGUAGUCUGCUUUGAAUGUAAGAAAAAAGGGACACAUCAGACCCAACUGUCCUCUUCUGAGGAAGAAGAAAGGAAAAACUGAAAAGUACCGAAAAGCUCUUAAAGCUGAAACCUGGAGUGAUACAGAGUGUGAAGAAAGCGAUGAUGAUUAUGCCAAUAUAUGUCAAUGGCACAAUCGGAUUCAGAUUCAGAAAGCGAAUUUGAGGUAAGUAACUUCAAAAUCCCUAUUAAGGUUUCAAAAUACAUUGAUGAAUUGUGUUUUAGUCUUAAGACUUCUCUUAAAAGAAUUUCCGAACUCAAGAAGGAAAAUUCUGCUCUAAAACAACAAGAAAAUAUUUUGAAAGAAAAAGUGAAAUGUUUAGACAAGAAUGUUUAUUCUCUUAAAGAAAGUGAAGAUAAUCUUUUAAAAGAAAAUGCAUUCUUGAAAAAUGAUAUCUCAAAUAUUUCCAAAAGAUUUUCUAUAGGAUCUGAGAAACUGGAAAAAAUUCUCUCCGUUCAAAGACCUUAUUUUAAUAAAUCUGGUUUGGGAAUGACUGCUGAAACCAUUCCUUUAAUUGAUUUUCCUAAAGUGAAGGAAAGAAUCAAACAAAGACUCACAAGAGAUGCUUACAAAAAUCAUUUUAAAAGGAUCUUUGUAAAACCAGUAGGUCGUAAUGCUCUCAAAUGCUCAAAGUGCAAUAGUGCAUAUCAUUUUAAAAAAUAAUGUCCUAUGAUUUGGAAACCUGUUAAAAAGGUAUAGGCAAAAACCGAAUAUCAUACUAACAUCGAUGGACCCAAGAAAAUAUGGCUACCAAAGAAGGUUUGAGUUUCUUUUUUAAAUGCAGGUCACUAUCAAGAAAAAUGUAAAAUGGUAUCUGGAUAGUGGAUGCUCAAGACAAAUGACAGGAGACUCAAAUUACUUCAUAAAGCUUGUUCGAGUAAAUGGUGGAAAAGUCUCUUUUGGAGGAAACAGCAAAGGAAAAAUUGUGGGAUUUGGAACUAUAAAGAUUGGAAAUCUCACAAUCAGCAAUGUUUCCUUAGUGGAAGGACUCAUUUACAAUUUGCUCAGUAUUAGUCAGCUAUGUGAUAUUGGUUUCAAAAUCAACUUUCAAGAGGGAAUAUGUUCAGGAAUUAGUAAAGAUUCUAUUCAGUCAUUCAUGGGUCGAAGACAUGGAAAUAUCUACCUCUUGGAUGUGAAACCAGAUGAAUCAUAAUGUCUAAUCUCAAUCCAAGACGAAGCAAACUUAUGGCACAGAAAGUUUGGGCAUGUCAAUAUGAAGCAAAUAGCCAAAAUCUGAGCAAAGAAGCUUGUUCGUGGUCUACCCAAUUUAUCAUACCAAAAGUCUGAUCUAUGUACACCAUGUAUAUUGGGAAAACAGGUAAGAAAUUCCUUUAAACCAAUAAAUCAAGUUUCCACUACCCGUGUACUGCAACUUCUGCAUAUGGAUCUUUUUGGACCAACCAGAACACAAAGCAUUGGAGGUAAGAAAUAUUGCCUAGUAAUUGUGGAUGAUUACUCACUAUUUACUUGGGUAUAUUUCUUGGCAAGUAAGUCUGAAACUUUCUUUUACUUUGAAAAGUUUGCUAAAAAGGUUCAAAAUGAAAAAUGGUAUGUUAUCUCGAGUAUAAGAAUAGAUCAUGGAGGUGAAUUUGAAAAUCGUGAUUUUACAAAAUUCUGUGAUGAAUCUGAUCUUCAGCAUGUAUUCUCCUCUCCAUAUACUCCAGAGCAAAAUGGAGUUGUGGAAAGAAAGAAUAGAUCACUUCAAGAAAUGGCUAGAACUUUUUUAAUUGAAAGUAACAUCUCUUCACGUUUUUGGGCUGAAGCAGUUUCUACAGCAUGUUACAUUAUAAAUAGAGUUUUUUCUAAGGCCUAUUCUGGAAAAAACCCCCUAUGAACUAUUCAAAGAAAAGAAGCCUAUUCUUUCAUAUUUUCAUGUAUUUGGAUGCAAAUGUUUUAUACUGAAAAAUGCAAAUGAUCGAGUUGGUAAGUUUGAAGAAAAGUCAGAUGAAGGCAUCUUCCUUAGAUAUUCAACCACAAGCAAAGCGUACAAAGUCUACAACAAGAAGACUCAAACAGUGGAAGAAUCAAUGAAUGUUAAAUUUCAAGAUUCUAUGCAAAAUGAAUCCAUUCAGACUCAUCUUGAAGAAUCUGAACCUGCUCCAGACUCUACAAAGUCUAAAUCUCAGGAAGUAGCUCAGACUUUGAAGGACCAGCAACAAGUGACUGUUGAAGAUUCAAGUGAAGGAAGUGACCAUCAAUCUGACAAAUUAACCAACAACUGGAAACAUAAGUCCAGUCGUCCCAAAGAUCUUAUUAUUGGCGACAUCAAUGAAGGAAUUUGCACAAGAUCCAAAAGGCGCGAAGAGUCUAGUGCUGUGGCUCUUGUUUCUGAAAUAGAACCCAAAAGCAUAAAAGAAGCUUUAUUUGAUGAAAGCUAGAUUGAAGCUAUGCAAGAAAAGCUUAGGCAAUUCAGUAUUAAUGAUGUAUGGGAAUUGACUUCUAAACCAAAAGGUAAAUAUGUUAUUGGAGCUAAAUGGGUUUUCAGGAACAAGAUGAACGAGAAAGGAAAAGUCAUAAGAAACAAGUAAAGACUCGUGGCCAAGGGAUACACACAAGAAGAAGGGAUAGACUAUGACGAGACUUACGCACCAGUAGCAAGGUUAGAAGCAAUUCGAUUAUUACUUGCUUUUGUUUGUUAUAAGAAUUUCAGGUUAUUCCAAAUGGAUGUCAAAAGUGCCUUCCUAAAUGGAUUCAUCCAAGAGGAAGUCUAUGUGGAACAACCACCUGGGUUUGAAGACCCAAGGAAACCAGACUCAGUAUUCAGACUCAAAAAGGCUUUAUAUGGCUUAAAACAAGCACCUUGAGCUUGGUACGACAGACUGAGUAAAUUUUUAAUUGAAAAUGGAUUUGUUAAAGGUAAAGUAGACACUACUCUUUUCAUUAAAAGAGAAAGCAAGAGUUUUCUACUUGUUCAAAUAUAUGUCGAUGGUAUUAUUUUUGGAUCCUCUAAUGAAAGUCUGUGCAAGAAAUUCUCUAAGACUAUGCAGGAUGAAUUUGAAAUGAGCAUGAUGGGUGAGUUAACCUUCUUUCUUGGACUUCAAGUGAAACAACUGAAGGAAGGAACUUUUAUUCAUCAAGAAAAAUAUGCUAAUGAUAUUGUGAAGAAGUUUGGAUUGGACAAUUGCAAAAAGGCCGAUAUACCAAUGUCAAGUUCCUUGAAGAUAGAUAAAGAUGAAGGAGGAAAGAAAGUCGACCAAAAGUUAUACAGGAGUAUCAUCGGUUCGCUUCUUUAUUUUUUUGCUUCUAGACCUGACAUUUUGUUUAGUGUUUGCAUUUGUGCCAGAUUUCAAGUAGACCCUAAAGAAUCACAUUUAAAUGCUGCAAAGCAUAUUAUCAAAUAUAUUGCAUCAACUUCAAGCUUCAGUCUCUAGUAUCCUAAAAUGGGAGACUUUACUCUUCUUGGGUACUCAGACGCAGACUUAGCCGGAUGCAGAGUUGAUAGAAAGGGCACCUCAGGUACCUGUCAACUACUUGGAGGCAGGACAGUGUCUUGGUUUUCAAGGAAGCAAAGUACAAUAGCUCUCUCUACAGCGAAACAGAAUAUGUAGCUCUUGGAAGUUGUUGUUCACAAAUUCUGUGGAUAAAACAACAGCUAAGAGACUUUGGAAUUAAAGAUUCAUGCACAGAGAUUAAAUGUGACAACACCAGCGCAAUCAAUCUCACCAAAAAUCCAAUUCUUCACUCAAGAGCAAAGCAUAUAGAGAUUCGACAUUACUUCAUUCGAGAUCAUGUUCAAAAUGGAGAAAUUGCGAUUAAGUUUGUUGACUCGAAGAACCAACUGGCGGAUAUAUUUACAAAGCCUUUGGAGAAAAAUCAAUUUGAAAUUAUUCGUUCCAGACUCAACAUUUCGAGGUUUGAAGAAGUUAAAGUCUAGAGACUCUCAGACUCAGACAAAUAAGACUUUAACUGCAAGACUUUGACUGUAAGUAUGUUUAUCAACCGUUUAUCAACCGUAUUUGAUUAUUGUUAUCUCAACCGCCAUCUUUAAUUGACGAGAUUAUUGCAUCGUUUCCUGUAGAAAAAUGAGUUAUUUUGAAAUGACCAUUUUUCGAAAAAGGCAGUUAUUUUUUUAAAGGCAUCUUUUCACUUUCCAUUACGACAAUUGGUAUCCCCUCCUUUCGACUGUCUUAUAUACAGUCAGUUUCUCUUUGCUUAACUCCAAAACCCUAAAAAGCACCAAUCUUCCAUUCCUGUUUUCUUCUCUUGUUUAAUCUUCGAAAAAGUUGUCAUCUUUCUUGGGAAAGUCAAGCAAGGAAUCUUUCGAAGACUAAGAAAGAUGUCGUCUUCAAGAAAGUCUUCGAGGAUCGCAAGCAGGGGACCACGACGAAUGAGUGAGGGGCCUAUGCACUUCGAUCUCACUGAAUAAGAAGUGUCUCCAAAUCAGCAGCAAAGCCCACAACAUUCUCAGCAGUGUCAUUCUCCUCCAUCUAGUCCUCAAGAUGUUGAUCAUCAACAAAAUGAAGAAAUCAUUGAAGAUGCAGACCUUGUAAGAGUUCAAAGGCUCUCUUUUAUUUAUAAGUUGUAUCGUGCUUUAAAAGGGACCGGUACUCCAUUGAACUAUGUCGAUGAUUUUCUUAAGGACAAAGCAUAUGGAAAUGAAUAUAUCUUUUUGCGAAAAAUGGAAAGUUUGGGAAUUGCUCGUAAAGGGGUGGCAGAAGAAACCCUUGUGAAUAUCCCAAGUGAUCCUCAUGAUUGGGGAUUUAAUCCAGUAGAUGGAAAUGAUGAUGACAAAUUAUACAGCCAAUUUCAACCAAGAAUGGGAGUUGCGGCGGAAAAUCGAGGAAAAAUGGGAGAGUUGUUUAGAUCGAAGGAACAGAAUGAUCUAUACUCAAAAUUGCUGAAGCGUGGGGUGAUAAACCCUAGGAGUGUGGAUUUUGACUUUCUGAAUGCUGUGAAUGUGAACUUGAGGGAAAAGUUCGAUUAUCUUCAACUUGAAAAAUUCUGCUCUGACACCACAGAGGCCUAUCCUCAACUAACUGCAUAUUUCUAUUCAAAUCUUAGUUUCUUGGAUGCGAAUAGAUUCUCCUUCAGUGUCAAAGAUCAAGACUUUGUAGUGAAUAUGGAUAUGCUGGCAGAUGUGUUAGGAGUUGAGAGAGGAAGAUAUCAACGGAUCAAAGUUUCUAUUGCUCGUACUACAUUGGAACUUGUUAAGGACAAGAGAACAGAAGAAAAGAUUUCCUAUUCAAGGAUGACUGCAUUCAACAUCUUGAUGCACAAAAUUGUAAUCAAUUGCCUCAGACCGAAAUCAACUUCCAAGACUGAUGUCUCAAGUUCAGAGGCAAAGCUAAUGUAUGCCAUCAUCACUGGGAAAAGGUUUUCACUUCCUCACACUGUUAUGUUCCACAUAUAUAGAGUUGUGAUGAAGGACAUAGGUCAACUUCCUUAUCCAGGUCUUGUGACGAAGUUAUUCAGACAUCUGAACAUUCAGCCUCCGCAAAUUCUUUGUGCUCGAUCGUGCGAUCAUAUGGUGGUAGGACUGAAAAUGGUGACCAAAAUGCGUCUGAAGGAACUAAGCAAGGCAUUGGAGAAAUUUAAGGAGAAGACUCCAGUCAAAUCUCAUCAAUUCUCUUCUGCAGGAAAAAAGAAAAGGAAAGGAGCCCAUGGAUGCUCCAUCCAAGAGAAGAAGAGCUCUCAUCGCGGAGGAUGAAGAUGAUGAUGAUAACAUCACCAUUCCUGCAAUGGCUUUGAAGAAUCUCAGUCGAUCUGUUCCAGAGAAAGAGUUAGAACAACAGACGGAAGAAAGAGCAGAGAAAGAAGCAGAGGAAAAAGAAACGGAGGAAAGAGAAGAAGAAGAAGAAGAAGAAGAAAGAGAUGCUGAGAAAAAGAGAGUUGAAAAAGAAGAAGAAGAGAAAAGAGAUCAAGAAGAAGGAGAAGAUGAGGAGCACUCUCCACCUGAAGGCAUGAACACAGGGGGAGACCAAGAGAAAAUAGGAAUGUCCUCAAAUCCUGCAACCAGUGAUGGAGUCAGUCGAUCCCCAGCAGAUCCAGAGGAUAUUUAUGCCUCUCAGUUUCCUGAGGAAGGUCAUGAUGUUUCUUCGCCAAAUCUACGUGAUUAUGCUAUCUACCAUCAUUUGCAUUUUCUCCAUCAGAUCGUGCCAACGCCAGUACGCAAACUGACAAUUCAACAGACUUUCGCAGAGUGAUGGAUAUUCUUUUGGAGAUGCAAGGUCAGAUAUAUGCAUUGGGAUGUGAAGUUCAGAACUUGCAGAAUGCAGGACAAGCUUCUUCAGGUUCAUUGAAUGAUCAAAUCCAAGCCCUUUCUCUUCAGAUUCAGGCUAAUGCUAAGGCUGAAAGGCAUUGUUCAGUCGAUGGGAGAUUUCCAGCUUGUUCGUGUUCCCAAGCAUUUUUUACUCCAUUUUCAUCUCAAUCUUUUUUAUGCUGACAAAAAGGGGGAGAGUUGCGAGACUUUAAAAACUUUGAACUUAAAUUUGUCGAACUUUUGGUUUGUUUGGUUUGUGGUUUGUUUUGACUUGACUUGUGUGUCUGGAUGUGGACUAAAUUUGGGAUUUGGAUUUGACUGCUUAUUAUUAACUACUAAUGAUAUCUUAUGGAUGGCUUUAUUGCAUACUAGACUAACCUAUUUUCUAUGGUUGCAGAUUCUAGUGUUAUUCAUUUAGCCAUUUAUCUCUAUAAGAUAUGCAUAUGUGUUUGAGAAAUGUUUUGCAGGUCAAAGUUUUUCAAAUCUGCAGGAAAGUUUUGUCACCAUCAAAAAUGGGGAGAUUGUUGGAUAAAUUCUCUUGAAGUGUUUUGAAGUUGAUAAAACGUUUCCAUCAUUCUAGUCUGAAGGCUUGCAGACUCUGCUAUUUAAAGUCUGAAGACCUUCGGACAGCCAGACUCAAGACUCAAAGUCUAUCCUCAUUGACAGUUUCUAAUCCGUUGAAGAAAGGCUAUUUAGAACUGGAUGUUUCAUUAAGUAUGUGGCCUUAUCAACUGGAGAAGAUCUCUUGGCUGGAUAUGACAUAACGGAAUCCUUUAUUUGAUCAUAAUUGAUUUGAAGAUUAAGGAUCCGAUGAUUGACAAAGUAUAUUUGGAAGGUUCUACUUAUGGAAACCGAGAUCCUGAUUGUAUGGGCGAACAUGAUUGAUGGGCUAUCGACAUGUUUCUUUAAUAACUCGAAUGAUCUUCCUAAUUGAUUCCGUCCAACGAGUAGAUUGGAGGAAUUCCUUUGGUAAGUGCCAACGGGUAUGAUGGCAUGAAGGAGUAUAUAAGGAAGACGUUCCAAUUGUUCGAGUGUGUGCACGAUAGAAGAAUUUCAAAGUCUGAAGCUCCUUGUUCUUAGUCAAUUCAUUUGUUGAGCAAAAUCGUGUAAACAAAAGAGAGUCUAUAUUCGUGAGAAACCUUGAGGAAGUGUGGUAGAACAUCUACACUGUGGAAUCAAGGAAAAGCUGUGCUGUAACUUCUCUUUUGUUCAUAGUGAAAUCCAGCUGGUGGGCUGUCAGUGGGGAAGAGUGGACGUAGGCUUGGAAUAAGCCGAACCACUAUAAAUCUUGUGUUCAAUUUUCUCUUCCCUAACCUUUACUUUACUUUGAUCGUAUUUUCCUUUCUAUCGUUUGCCUAGAAUCACUUCCGUAUCUCGAGAAUUUGUUUGUAUACCUAUUCACCCCCCUCUAGGUGCUUAUACUAGCUAUCUCACCCUCUAGUUCAGGCCAGAGAGGUUUUUGUGAGAGAAAACAAGGCAGGGAUGGAUGUGAGGGGUCAGCAUGUUCAGCUUUCGCCCUUUGGGAGUGGGAAGAGAGGGUGUCCUGGAACCUCAUUGUCGCUUCAGGUCGUGCAGACGACUUCUGGCUUGUAUGGUUUGGUGUUCAAGUGGUGAGUGACCGGCAAGGUGGACAUGAAGGAGGGGCCCGGGACUACUCUUUCAAGGGAUCACCCCCUGAUUUGCGUCCCUGUGGCUAGGCCCGAUCCGUUCCCAUCGUCUUGAUGAUCUAGUCGGAUUGAAUUAAGAAAUUGCUUUUUUUUUUUUCAUGACAUUGUAGGUUUAGGAAUCUGUUUUCAGCACCCCUGAGGGUUGCAUGCUACAUAUCAAAUGCUCUGGAAUGUCCUGGAUAACCUCUAGCAGAUUGGGUCGAUCGUAAAUUACAAGUACGACAUUGACAAGUUAUUCAAAUACUAGAUAUUGUGAUCACUUCCAUCAUAUAAAAUUAGUUCCAUUUCUUGUUGAGUAGAAUUGUUGACGCGGGAAUGGGUGAGAGAAGUCCACAAGUGUUGUGUUCUAAGAUUUGGCGUAUGACUAAAAAACACAAAACUUGGAAAGAAACUAUUUUCCUUCGAGAAACGAAGUCAAAGUUAUGCGAAAUCAAAUUACUAGACAUCAUUUGCGUAGAGAACACAAAGAAAUCAACCAUAGGUGAAGCCCCGGGCAUUGGUACUCAUAUGAAGAACCUGCAUAUAUCGUGUGUCCUCAAAUGUAAGUUCGGAACUUUCAAAGGUUGCCUAUAAAAUGUGCAUGCUCAUUCCUUCCAAUUUGCGGGGUUUGUAGGUGUGAACUUCAAUUUAUGUCUAGUGGGUAUUAGAAUCAUCACACAACCAAUGUGUUCUAGUUAUAUUUCCUGGACUACGACUCAUUCCAACUUCAGGCCUAGGGCUAUAUCCUUGGACAAAUUGCUCCAAUUCAAUUGAAAUUGAAAAGGGGCAAAUUCCUUUGCUUCGGUUGGGGGUAUGUGUAAACUCCCUACAUUAGAUUGGCAAUUUGGCAUCAAUGUUGGGUCCAAAGUGAGAAUAAGAAAAAAUGAAGUGUAAGUAAUUCACUUGUAAUGCAUCACGAUAUUUUAAACCACACGUACCAUUACCAAUGCAAGUUAGUAAAUAAUUUGUCCGGACUAUUUAAAAUAGAUAUGAAAAAUAGUAUAUCGUAAUUGAUAAUAAGAUUAUUCUCAUAAAAAUUCAAUGAGUCCAAUUUAUGCACGAGAUAGUUCUAAUGCUUGCCUAAUUUUUAAGGGCAUUUUAAAAGUAAUCUUCUCUUUUAAGGAAAAAGUAAAACCAUUGUCAUCCAGCCACAUUAAAAAUCAGGAGAUGUAAAAUUUCUUAGGAUUAGGGUCGGGGCGAUCCAUCGGUACAACGGCCGGGAUUGUGGAGCUCACUUGGUCAAAUGGACAUCCGAGUGGACCCAACGCAAAGCAUAUGCUCUUUACCUCACGCCACGUGGGUAGUUGUUGUACUGCCCAUUCCCAAGCGAUUGCGGGACCUCUGCGACGGUCACGCUUCGUCCUGUGCUGGGCACUGAGUGUCGCGCGUGGCUCGUGCGUUUGGCCGACGUUGGGAUGUGGAGGGCCAGCUGAACGAGAUAAUAAUGUCGACCAAAGGCGUGGUCCGGAAACGACGGGAGAAAGUUGUCUGCUCUGUGGAGAGGAAGAGCUUUCAGGGGGCCCACCGAGCAAGUUGGAUCGAAAUUACAGGCUGGGGACAGAGUUGGGGAUCACCACUGAUCUCUGAACUCGCCCCUUUGUUCUGAUCCGAAAAUGGAAAAGAAUCAGGCUGAUAUGGAUAAGGAUAUAUGGGGGCCCCGUAUAUCCAUAUCCACGUCAGCCUUCUUUUCCAUUUUCGGUUCGGAAAAAAGAGACUGCUGGUUCGGCUGUUUCGUCUUUUGGCGCUUCCCGCCGACGCUACUCUUCGUUAAGCUUAAGAUUUGAACUCCCUUUUUUAAUGGAAACACUCAGGCAUAUUAGGAAUCCCCAAUAAUAUCUUAUGGCCACGGACCUAAGAGUAUGAGCAAAUGUUAAGGAUGAAAGGAGUUUUUAUUUAUAAAAAAAAUUGUUUCUUUACUUCUUAUUAGGAGUGUCAAUAGUUCGAUUCGAUUCGGUUUUUUUGAAAAAUCGAAUCGAACCGAACCGUUAGGAAAAUCUUCCGAACCGAACCGAACCAAAAAUUUCUGCUCGGUUCGGUUCUUUUUUUUAUUUUUUUUUCUUUCGGUCUUUGGAAACAAUUUCGUCAUAUGACUAUAUCAAUUGAAGCAAACAAUGCCCAACAACUUCAAGCUUCACAAGCCGAUGACUUGUUAAACAGCAGUCACACUCAUCAGAUCACAUAUAAAAUCAUCUCAUACAUUGCCAAAAGUAAAGAGGAAAAAAAGGAUUAUAUUUGAAAUCAUUGCAUAGAGUUCCUACCAGUCAUCAAUGAAAUUCUCCACUCAACUGCUUAUACAAGUACCGAAAAGGACUAAACCGUGUAAUAAGAUUCAGUUCACAAUGAAGAAGUUUUGCAUUUCUUCAAGCCAGUUGCAGCUGAUGUGGAGCGUGGAUUCUAUAAUUAUAUGAAGUGCAGUUGAAAUAUUCAGGAGUGAAGUGAUAGGUCCAAUAUCAACAGGACUUACCGUGUUUAUUCUGACAAACAAAGUUCCCAUGACACCAUCAAAACAUUCUUGUGCCAAAGGAGCAAUUCAUAUUCUCUGCUCAUUAUGGAAUUAUCACCACAAAGCAACAAAUCUAGUCACUCAGUUCAAAUAUCACUUCUUUUAACAGUGAGAACCACGACCAAGUGAUGCAAAAGCUAUUCUCGCAUUCCAUUGUUAAGGUCCCAUGUAAGAAUGCAGAACGCAUGAUCAGCAUGCCUCCAAAACAUUUUUUUGGCUCUAAGCUGUUGUUGUUCUCUCUUAUUGGUUCAGGAUACCACUAAAUGGGAAAUCACCUGAUUGUUCCACUUCAAAGGAUCAAUGUACAAACUGACCGAAACCAGAGCACCUGUGGACAGGAUGAUUGAUUAAUUACUGGAAUUUCUUGGUUUUCUUUGACCAUCCAGAGCAACCAAAUUUCCAACCAAAGUACAGGAUGAUUGAGCAAGACCCAACAUAUGGGACAUACACCGAGAAUCCUAACCAAGAUGAGAUCUUUCUACUCAUUCAUUUCCUAACAAGCCUUCCUGCUCCAAAUUAAUGCUGGUCAGUCAUUAAGUCCAUGUAAUGCUACAGACUCCGACAAUCAUACACAAGAGAACAGUCCCCCAAAACACUAAAAAAAGAAACCAAUCCGAUUCAAACCGAAACAUGAUCUUGCCAGGGUAAUGUGCAAAACAGAUAUCGUCACAACAAACAGCUCAUUCAAAUGAGCCCUCACAAGAUAACUUACUCCAAGAAGAGAGAAUUUCCCCAGAAAGAGAAAAGGGAAAAAUCGCACCUUCAAAGAGGCAAAUCGCUUUCGGGUUCCGAAACCAAGACCUGCAACGCCACCACCGUGGGAGCAAUUCGCAGAAGCAUCGGACCACCUGUGGAGCUUAUGAGGAGGAGGGCAGAGGGCACCACGCUGGCGCGAAGAGGACGGCGUCAGAGACGAAGAAGAAGGAGAAGAAGAGAAGCGCAAUGAAGACAGUCGAACCACAUCCACCAUCGAAGCCCCCAAGACUCGACCAUAAGCCAAAACCCAGAAGAGCAGAGCCGACUUUCUUCCCCCUCGGAGCUUCUGGGCACCGAGAAAUAGGGGCCAAAAACGCAGCUUUACCAAAGAAAGAGGGCGAGGGGAGACAUGGGAACGGAGGGUCGCCGUCGCCGUCGCAGUCGCCGUCGCAGUCGCCGUCGUCAUCGCCGUCGCCGUCGCCGUCGCCAUUGCACCUCCAACCGACCAAGACGAGACACAAGAGGAAAGGAGACGGGAGUCGGGAGUCGGGAGGGAAAAACCGAAUUUAUCGGUUUGUUGGUUCGGUAAUUGAUAAAAAUCGAACCAAUAAAAAAUUAUUGACUCUUUUAUGAAAAUAAACUGAAAAUAGAAUCAAACCAAAAAAAUCAAAUUUUUCGAUUCGAUUCGAUUUUCACACCUCUACUUCUUACAUCUUGUAACGAAAAUAUAACGAAAUCAUAUUUGAUUUUAUGGACAAAGCUGUUAAUUGGUGGUCGUAGAGUUCAAUAAAAGAACAAUCAGAUCAUCAGGUCAUAUUUGUGAGUUGAGUUGUUUGCAUUGCAAAAUAAAUCAGCUUGAAACCUGACGACCACUCACGUCGAGGUGAGAAAAUAUUGAGUGGGUUCGAAAUGUAUCACCAUAUAAAAUUCGACACGUGGCGAUUUUGGGCCCACCUGUCAGCGCCCACUCUCCCCAUUAACUCCGUCUCUCUCCCGUUUACCUUCUCUCCUCCCCUCCGUUUCUGCCCACAACUGUUUCUCCUCCUCUUCCCUCUCCACUUCUCUUUUCUUUUUUCUUGCGUCUGCCAUGGCUCGAGCUCGAGUCGGCUCAUGGCCGCUUCAGGUCAAGAAGGGACGGCGCGCCGCCGGAUGGAGACUGCGUUGAGCUUCGUUUGCGGUGAGAUAGCUUGAGGCCGAGCUCGAAACUCGAGCGCUAACCAAAGCUCCGAGUUUGAGGUCGAGCAAGUAUUGUCCAUGGCUGGCCACAGUGGCCGCCACUGCCUUGACUAUCGUCUUGCUUGAGGAAGAUGACGAGUCCGGCGGUGGCGCUUGGAGCGAGUCUAUUACGGAAGGAGGAGGAGAGCCGGGGGGCGGCGGUGGCGGACGACGUGGAGGCGGCCUGGGAGAGGAGGGCGCGGACGCGGGAGGGGUCGGCGGGCUGCUUCGGGGUGGGGAUGCGCUUCACGCCGGAGCGGCGGUUGGCGACGCACCAGGACUGGAUGAGGCGGCGGAGGGUGUGGUUGGGGAUGAGGGCGGAGUCGAGGAGCGGGGCGCGGGUGACGGGGCAGGUAGUGUUGCGGGCGGCGAUCCAGGGCUCGAUGCUGGACCGGUCGUAGGUCUGCCCCGUCGACACCGUCACCGGGUCCCGCAUCAGCUCCAGCGAGAUGGGGCACCGGAAGUGGUGCGGGAUCUGGACGCCCACCAUGUCCAGCGGCUCCAGGCUCAGCCCCACGCAUUUUUUUCUCUCUUGGAACGGCCCAAAAAAGCUCCCUUUUGUUCGUUACUGCACUCCCUCUCUCUCUCUAGAAUGUGGGCACUGGAUGAAGUGAAGGAUCGACCCUUGCAGAGCGCGCAGAUGGGCACUGGCGAAAUUCCUUCUCCGUUCGUGAGAGGACGCUGGUUUCUUCCUUAUACAAAAUCGGUAUUUCUUUCAAGUCUUCAGUGCAUUAACUCCCAUUGUAUCACCAUACAAAAUUCAACACGUGGCAAUUUUGGGCCCACCUGUCAGCGCCCACUCUCCUCCAUUAACUCGAGAAAAUAUUGGGUACGCCUUAUGUAUCAACGUGGCAAACAAAAAGGCGCUCGCAGCGCGACACGUGUCUCGUGGGACCCACGAUUUCAGGAGCUCGCGUCUCUCCAUCUUCUGCGCUUCUGUCUCUCUCCUCUCUCCAAAAUAACUCUGGGCUGGUGGCUCGGCUCGGCUCGGCUGGCAGAAGAAAGGACGACUCCCGCUUAAAAUUUCUCUCCUCACUUGAAUAUUUUGGGUUUCGUCUCUCUCUCUCUCCUCGUGAAGAGCAGAGAACGAGCUGCACCUCCUCUCUGUUUCCUUUUCUCAGCGCAUCCCACCCCCACCCCACGAGCGGCCCCCGCCUCCGGAGGGGCAGCGCCUGAGCCGUGCGGCCGGCGGAGGAGGCGGCGGCGUUGUGAGCGAGGACGGGAAGGCGGAGGAGGCCAAAGCGGCGCGGCGGCCGUGGAAUCUGAGGCCGAGGAGGGCGGUGAACCCUCCGCCGCUGUCGUUGAGGAACGGCGAGGCGUUUCACGACACCGCGGGCGGCACGCUCAGCGGGGACAAGGAGAAUUACGCCGCGCAGCAGCAGCAGUUGCAGCCGCAGCCGAAAUCCGUGUGGUUACGAGACUUCGUGGGGGAGGGCGAGAGGAAGGAGAAGAAGAGGCUUCUCUGCGCCCUCCCUCUUUCCGACCGGCAACCGACGAACCACCGCACCGGACCGGCGAGAGGACCGCGAGACCUAGCUCCCUCCCUCUUUCCGACCGGCGAACCACCGCACGGGACCGGCGAGAGGACCGCGAGCAAUCGACGAACCACUACACGGGACUGGCGAGAGGACCGCGACCUCCCUCUCUCUCUGCCCUCCCUCUUUCCGACCGGCGAACCACCGCGAGCAAAUCAGAUGUUUUUGUAGAGAUCUCCCAUCGUCGCCUUCAUCUUCUUUUCCCCCCUUUUUUUGUUUUGUUGGUUUUUUCCCCUAGUGUUCUGAUGAUGGAUCUGGAGUUGCAUAUGCUCGACGGCUUCUUCGGCGACCUCCCUGAGGCCAGCGACGUCAUCGGCGCUUGCUCCUCGACGAACGCAUUGUCAUCGUCUCCAGACUCGGGGCUCUCGUGGUUCAUCGAGAACAUCCUGAUGAAGGACAACGAGGACGGCAGAGUUGCCGGUGGCGGGAUUAGGGCUGAUUCGAGCCAGGAGUUCUGCGAUAGGUUCCUCGCUGACGUGCUCGUUGACUCCCCCGGAGAUGGGUCCGCGGAGAUAGCUGACGGGUCCGGCGACAAGGAGGAGCCUGGAUCGUCAUCCGACGGCUGGGUCGAGGCUGCGAAGGUUGAUGGGGCUAACGUUGGUGGUGAAGCCUAUGAUCCUGCUUCUAAGAAGCUCAGGAGGUACGUUGAUUAGGUUCUCUUGCACUUCUCGUGUGAUUAUUAAGCUUAUUAUAUGAUGCAUUCUGAUUGCUCAGGUGGGUUCACUAACACCUGAGAAGGCAAUUUCUGAUGCCAUUUUACGACAAGCAAAAAGGCCUUGCAAUUAUUACUGUUGUGAAAGUUGGUAUGAUGGUACCGGCCUUGUGGUUGCUCGUAGGGAAGACGGCUCAUGGUCUCCACCUUCUACAAUUUCUUCAUGUGGAAUAGGGUGGGGAGCAAAGGUAGGCUCGUUUUAUCGUAUCCCUGGAUUUUGAUUUCAUCAACCUUAAGGGCCAAGUGUCGAAACCAACAAGUGUUUUUGGCUUUCAUGCAAUCUGCAGAUUAACCACGUGUAUCAACGUGCUCAAAAUGAUUGUUUAGAUAAUAAACAUCAAUUUGAUUUUUUACUCCAUCCGGAAUGCUUGACGUAUUGUCUGCUUCAUUUCCAUGGUCUCUGUGAGAAUUUUCCUUUGUAAAUGUCUGGUCUGUCAUCCUUCUAUUUCAUGGAAUGUGCCAUUUGUUUCUCCUUUCUGGAACUCUAUCUAAGAACAGUAUUUCUCAGGAUGAGAUUUGGACUUUUUGUUUGAUUACCAUGUUGCCAUUGAGUUUUCAAGUUCCUUUUUGCAUCUCUGUUCCCUUUCUCUGAAUUUGUGUUUUGCUUUAUUGUGGAAGUGGGAGAAAGUCCCUGAGCCAGAGAUGUGUACCCCUUUCAUAUAAUCGUUCCCUUUCUGUUAACAUGUCUAUCACAUUAAUAGCUUCUGCUUGUGUGGCUUAAGCUCGAGCAAAGAAGUCUUGCAUAAAACAUAAAAAUCAACUAAAGAAAUCUUUAGUCGAUUCCCCUUCCUCCCGAAAUGAUAACAACAAUAAUAGUAAAAAUCAGAUGAUGCAUGCUUGAGGAGAUACUUGGAAGCUUGAAACUGGAACAUAGAUAAAGCAAAGAGAUGAGACACUGAAAUGGAGAUCAACUCUUAAGCCUGAGGAAAUCAGCUGGGUAAGAUGGCUAAGUGUCCUGGUGAAUGAAUACCUGCGCGAGUAUUGUGAUAGAUAAUUUAUGCCGAUGGCUGUUGCCUGUUAAACUUCAAUAGACAUCCGAUCCUUGUUACCCUAACUAUUGUGUUGACCUGAUAAUUAAUUUUAUUUUGUAGACUAAGUUCCUGGUAUGGAAAAGGACUGAUUUUCUGAAUGAAUGCGAAUGCAGGAUUGGUGUUAGUCAACAAUAAUUGAGUGGCUCUCAACUUUUGUGUCUUCUAUGAGACUGCCAUGAUGCAGUGAUAUGAAGCAUUAGGUGUUGGAGAGUUUAUUGUUCAAGGGACACUAAGUGUCCCAAUAUAUUUUUUCACUCAUGCUGUUUCCAAAAUCAUCAUUUAGACCGUUUUAGUUGACAAUAUGGCUAAUGAGCAGGUUGUGUUAGACAUGCAAUAGUACUUAUUGGGACGCUGAAUAAUGCUUCCAUUUGACAAUGUGAUGCUUACUAAAACAGGAAGAAGUUGCUAUUGAAGGUGAAACUGGAAAAGUAUACAGAGCAAGUUUUCAUGAUCGUUAUGGAAGGAGUGUUCUUAUAUUGAGACCUGGAAUGCAGGUAUUUAUCCAUCCUGUUGUUGCUAAUUUCUGUAGCUUUUAUUUUCUAUUACCUAUUAACUUGGCAAUAAAUCUUGCAGAAUACUCAUGUACUGUUUGAUGAGGACUACAUCAUGUACUGGUGGAGGUCGGAACUCAUGGAAUACGAAGAUGGCGAACUCUCAUGGUUCAAUACCGGAGUGAGAGUUGGAGUUGGAAUUGGAGACUCAAUUACGGCGGUCUUAAGUGACCAUUGCGACGGAGACGACCACCACCAUGGGGGUUGUUGUGGUGUUGGUGUUGCCCGCCAUCGAGGAGGACGUCGCUGUUGUCCUAGAGCUUCUUAGAAGUAGGAUCAUUUGGUCCACAUUUUCUUUCAAAUUUGUGCAAGCCGAGAAGCUCAGAAUCUUUAAUUUUCCCUUGUUUUCGCUUUGUGCGUGGCCGGCCUUUGGGCCGUUGGUUGCGAAGCUCAAUCCAUAUGAUCUUAAGAGUGCUUACAUGUGCCAUGUUGGAGAGGUUUCACUUUUGCUGGCUCCUUAGUUGAUCAGGCUAAACUUGUCAUUCCAUGAUCUCCAAGUACAUGGCAAUGUUUUUAGUUUCGAGCUGUGACUAGUGAGAGCAUCAAACCAGCAGACACUUCCUGAUAUGGUUCGCCAGGUUGUUUAUCACGACUUUGUUGCUGCUAUGACAAACUGCUCUUGACCUACAAGUGCAGAUUCCACGAGGUGCUAGUUAAUAUGUUCCAGUCCUACGUUAGUCAGGCAGAGACAUGUAGAUGAAAAAGGCUUCUGGCCAUUAACCAUCUGAACAAUCGGGCUCUCAAUUCUAGAUGGAAAAUUUGCCGGAGCAAACCGUGUUCCCUCUCUCAUUGCCAUUGUCUUCAAUGAGAUGAAUUUAACAAGCAACAAACCACAGGUUCUCCGCAACCUCAUGCCUCCGUUCUCGCUUUGGUUUCUCAGGUCAAUCUUCGGUUAUACGUUAGGUCAGGACAUAAAUUUUUGUAGGGUUCAUUUCUUGGACGCCUAGUCUUGGUCUAUUUAUUGAGCCACUUCCUAAUCCUUCUUCACAUUACCACCUUCCUAAUCACACUCGGUUCCCCCACCAUUUGACGACUAACGAGAAAUUGCAUGGGAACAUAGAUCUAGCACAAGAUAAUUAACAAGAAAUCGCAAUGAUCUGUAUGCACUACUUCGAAAUAGGGGGGGAGGUGGACUUCCAUUACACUGCAUUGACUCGAGUCUAAUGCGCGGUGCAGUACCGAACAAGAUCCAUAGAAGAGCUGUAUAUCAGGUCGUGACCACGCAACCUGUUUUUCUGGGUUCAUCAUGAACAAUCACAUAAAAUUUCCUCCAUCAUCUAGGACAUGCCCAAGCAAUCUUCAAAGUAAUUUGAAAAGAAGGGUGGUUUUUGCUUGUCUUCCCCAAUACCCUGAGUAAACACCAAAUAUGAAAUGUAUAGCUAUAUGUACAUUCCAAAGAUUGAUCCCAGCAAUUAUAACUAUUUACAUAUUCCUCUCCCGAAACCCCCCGGCGAAGAGAGGGAAGCAAUGAGUUUGAACAUGCUAUACACUUGAUAAGAAUAGACAACUUUACAGUGGCAAGAAUUGCAGUUAAGAACUUCCAUAGGCAGUAUCGGAGACAAUUGGCCAAGCUGUACGGCACUAAUAUGGUGAUGACCACUCCAGCUUCUGAUACAUGUCUGCGAGUGCGUUAAAAAGGAUGGCAGCAGCUGGUGGCCUCGGCAAUGAACCAAGUAGUAUGUACAAUGCAUUUAUAGACGGGCUGCCAUAAAAUUGGCAAUUUUCUCUUGUCGGCGUUGUCACCACACUGCCUUGAAGGGAGCAUCCAACAAAAGCACCUGCCAAUUAUUUUAUGAAAAAAUUGAGAACAAUUAAAGAACUUCAGAAAGCGGAACGAGCCCCCACAGACUGCUGGCAAUGAAAUGAUAGGAAAAUGAGAAAUACAAAUUCUAAACCUCUCCAACUUUUUACUAUGAGCAUCUCAAUUUAAGUAGGAUCUAUGACGAAUCAAGCUCGGUGUUCUCUCAAAUGAUUGCUUAUUCAAAAAUAUCCCUGCAGAAGCUUUCUCAACUAAUGUCUCUCCCUUUUCCCCUUUCUUUGGCACUAAGAAAUGGGCAACAAGCAAGCUUCUCAAGAAAUGCUCUUUGUAGAAACUUUUUCAAACAAUGAUCUAAUGAAAACAGCUUCACAUAGCUUGAAAAGGUAAAGAGUAUCAUCAUUUUAUUGAAUAUAUAACUAGAAGAGUAUUUUAAGUAAUCGGAGAAUAGUCUUUUACAUGACUGCCUAAGGACAGAUACCCAUGCCAUACAAGCUAGACUACAUAGCUCACCUCAGCAACAGAGACAAAUGAGGAAGAAAGAAAGAGAGUGAACAAGAUCCUUUUCAAAAUGAGCAGUUUUUCUAUGUCCCGAGACUAUUAUUGCAUCGACUUAGGACUUAAUAAAAAUAGAGAAAUUACUAUCACAUUAAAACGGUUAAUAUCAUAGGAUACUAUCAAUGUUUUUUUGCAUAGCAAUGUAUACAUACCCCAAAAAUCAGUCCAGAGGACAACUCCACAGUUUAAAAGGAAAAAUAGCUAUAUAGAUGAGUACCUUUACUAUAGCUGUACGUAUAACAAGCAGAACAGCCACCAUCCCCCGCUCAUACAUCAGCUUCAGCAGCCCUUCCAAUGGGACCAACUACUGCACUCAAACUAGCCCCAACUGAAAAAUGAGCAGUACCACCAAAUGUCUUCACAGCCUCAGUUGUUCUCAACACCAUAACGAAGUCUGUCAAUUCUCCUCCAGCCUGCAAUCACCCUUGACUGGUUACUAUUGACUGGAAUAAGGAUAUCUCUACAUAAAAAUAUAACACAAAAUCAAACAUUUCUUGCAAGGAUAAUCUUUUCAUUUAUGUAUUUGAUUUUUACUAUUAUUGUUGUUAUCAUUUCGGGAGGAAGGGGAAUCGACUAAAGAUUUCUUUAGUUGAUUUUUAUGUUUUAUGCAAGACUUCUUUGCUCGAGCUUAAGCCACACAAGCAGAAGCUAUUAAUGUGAUAGACAUGUUAACAGAAAGGGAACGAUUAUAAGCAACACAAGGGCAAUCUCUGGCUCAGGGACUUCUCCCACUUCCACAAUAAAGCAAAACACAAAUUCAGAGAAAGGGAACAGAGAUGCAGAAAGGAACUUGAAAACUCAAUGGCAACAUGGUAAUCAAACAAAAAGUCCAAAUCUCAUCCUGAGAAAUACUGUUCUUAGAUAGAGUUCCAGAAAGGAGAAACAAAUGGCACAUUCCAUGAAAUAGAAGGAUGACAGACCAGACAUUUACAAAGGAAAAUUCUCACAGAGACCAUGGAAAUGAAGCAGACAAUACGUCAAGCAUUCCGGAUGGAGUAAAAAAUCAAAUUGAUGUUUAUUAUCUAAACAAUCAUUUUGAGCACGUUGAUACACGUGGUUAAUCUGCAGAUUGCAUGAAAGCCAAAAACACUUGUUGGUUUCGACACUUGGCCCUUAAGGUUGAUGAAAUCAAAAUCCAGGGAUACGAUAAAACGAGCCUACCUUUGCUCCCCACCCUAUUCCACAUGAAGAAAUUGUAGAAGGUGGAGACCAUGAGCCGUCUUCCCUACGAGCAACCACAAGGCCGGUACCAUCAUACCAACUUUCACAACAGUAAUAAUUGCAAGGCCUUUUUGCUUGUCGUAAAAUGGCAUCAGAAAUUGCCUUCUCAGGUGUUAGUGAACCCACCUGAGCAAUCAGAAUGCAUCAUAUAAUAAGCUUAAUAAUCACACGAGAAGUGCAAGAGAACCUAAUCAACGUACCUCCUGAGCUUCUUAGAAGCAGGAUCAUAGGCUUCACCACCAACGUUAGCCCCAUCAACCUUCGCAGCCUCGACCCAGCCGUCGGAUGACGAUCCAGGCUCCUCCUUGUCGCCGGACCCGUCAGCUAUCUCCGCGGACCCAUCUCCGGGGGAGUCAACGAGCACGUCAGCGAGGAACCUAUCGCAGAACUCCUGGCUCGAAUCAGCCCUAAUCCCGCCACCGGCAACUCUGCCGUCCUCGUUGUCCUUCAUCAGGAUGUUCUCGAUGAACCACGAGAGCCCCGAGUCUGGAGACGAUGACAAUGCGUUCGUCGAGGAGCAAGCGCCGAUGACGUCGCUGGCCUCAGGGAGGUCGCCGAAGAAGCCGUCGAGCAUAUGCAACUCCAGAUCCAUCAUCAGAACACUAGGGGAAAAAACCAACAAAACAAAAAAAGGGGGGAAAAGAAGAUGAAGGCGACGAUGGGAGAUCUCUACAAAAACAUCUGAUUUGCUCGCGGUGGUUCGCCGGUCGGAAAGAGGGAGGGCAGAGAGAGAGGGAGGUCGCGGUCCUCUCGCCAGUCCCGUGUAGUGGUUCGUCGAUUGCUCGCGGUCCUCUCGCCGGUCCCGUGCGGUGGUUCGCCGGUCGGAAAGAGGGAGGGAGCUAGGUCUCGCGGUCCUCUCGCCGGUCCGGUGCGGUGGUUCGUCGGUUGCCGGUCGGAAAGAGGGAGGGCGCAGAGAAGCCUCUUCUUCUCCUUCCUCUCGCCCUCCCCCACGAAGUCUCGUAACCACACGGAUUUCGGCUGCGGCUGCAACUGCUGCUGCUGCGCGGCGUAAUUCUCCUUGUCCCCGCUGAGCGUGCCGCCCGCGGUGUCGUGAAACGCCUCGCCGUUCCUCAACGACAGCGGCGGAGGGUUCACCGCCCUCCUCGGCCUCAGAUUCCACGGCCGCCGCGCCGCUUUGGCCUCCUCCGCCUUCCCGUCCUCGCUCACAACGCCGCCGCCUCCUCCGCCGGCCGCACGGCUCAGGCGCUGCCCCUCCGGAGGCGGGGGCCGCUCGUGGGGUGGGGGUGGGAUGCGCUGAGAAAAGGAAACAGAGAGGAGGUGCAGCUCGUUCUCUGCUCUUCACGAGGAGAGAGAGAGAGACGAAACCCAAAAUAUUCAAGUGAGGAGAGAAAUUUUAAGCGGGAGUCGUCCUUUCUUCUGCCAGCCGAGCCGAGCCGAGCCACCAGCCCAGAGUUAUUUUGGAGAGAGGAGAGAGACAGAAGCGCAGAAGAUGGAGAGACGCGAGCUCCUGAAAUCGUGGGUCCCACGAGACACGUGUCGCGCUGCGAGCGCCUUUUUGUUUGCCACGUUGAUACAUAAGGCGUACCCAAUAUUUUCUCGAGUUAAUGGAGGAGAGUGGGCGCUGACAGGUGGGCCCAAAAUUGCCACGUGUUGAAUUUUGUAUGGUGAUACAAUGGGAGUUAAUGCACUGAAGACUUGAAAGAAAUAUCGAGAUUCAAUAGGCAGCCCCUUUACUUUUCUGAUAAAAGCUGGUUAUUGAAAAAACGCAAGUUCACAAACAGAUCGGCUAGGCUCAGUUCUGUUUUUCACUUGCAGCUAUCAAGAGGAGCACCGCACAAGCACCGGUUGUGGAAGUACACCGUGUAAUCGAAGCUCUGCAACCGCCCGCCCACCGGAAUCUCCCCGCACAGCCGGUUGUAGCUCACGUUCAGGAGCUGGAGCUCCAGACCCGCCAUAGCCUUCGGAAUCGACCCGUAUAUCUUAUUAUGGUUCAUGUCCAGGGUCGUCAAGCUCUCGUUAAAAUCCACCUUCGACAGGUCGAACUCGAACUGGUUCCUCGAGAUGUCGAUGUGGUACGUGCUCUUGUUCCUUCCGAGCACCAGCGAUGCGUCCCCUUGAAGCCUGUUCCGGGAAAGGUCGAGCUUCCCGAAGUCGACGCCGGCGAAGGUCGCCGGGAGCUCGCCGGAGAGGCUGUUGUGGGAGAGGAUGAGGUAGAGGUCGUUACCCUUGAGGUUGGCAAGGGAAGCCGGUAUCUUCCCGGUGAGCUGGUUACGGUCGAGGCCGACGUAGCCGAGGCCGGGGAUGGUGGAGAGAGAGUCGGGAUGCUGCCGGUAAGCUUGUUGAAGGAGAGGUUGACGUAGGUGAGGUUCUUGAGCUGGCCGAGGAAGGAGGGGAUUGGGCCGGUGAGAUUGAGCCAGCUGAGGCUCAAGAAAUUAAGGUACUUGAGCUUGAUGAAGGACUCUGGGAUCGGGCCGGUGAAGUUGGAGAGCUUGUGGAGGGUGAGGGAUUGGAGGUAAGUGAGGUCGCCGAUGGCGGAGGGAAUUUGGCCGGGAAGGUCGUAGGCGAGGAAGAAGAGGGAUAUGACGCGGUGGGUCUUGUAGUGGCACUUGAGGCAGUACCAGUAGCAGCAGUCGGCGUCCGGGUCCCAGGAGGCGAGGAGGUAGGGGUUGUUGAGGGAGGACUUUAUGCGGAGGAGGACCUCCUUGUCCUCGGGGUGGCACAGGAUGGCGGAGGCGGGGCGGAGGAGGAAGAAGGAGAGGAGGAGGCGGGCCAGAGACAUCGUUGAAGGUGGUGGUGGGGGGGCAUGAGUUUUGGAUGAGUGAGGAAGGGUGAGGAAGGAGGAGGCGUGGAGAGUUGUAAUUUAUAGGAGGAAGUCGUGGUUCGUCCGGGAGCCAGAAAAUAUUAGGUGCGCCGGGCGCUCCACGUCACCGUGCGCCCCGCCCAAUCAGGAUACGACACAUGUCGACACGUGGAGCCGGGUCCCACUUUUAUUUUUAGUCAAAUUUUUGCCGCGUCCUUCUCCCGCCCUUCGCAUUUGAAGUGCCCUUUCUCUUCUGUCUUCUCCCGCACGAAGUCUCUCUCACAAAAAUCUUUCUCCGCCUCCUUCGACACCGACGAUCAGCACCGCCCGAGCGCCCUCCUCGUCCGGCGGUACUCGAUCUCGCCGCCGCACGCGCCUCCUCGCGCCUCGCAGCUCCGCUGGCCUCCAAGGUCGCGCUUCGAGCCGCGAAGUCGCGGAAGUCGUUGNNNNNNNNNNNNNNNNNNNNNNNNNNNNNNNNNNNNNNNNNNNNNNNNNNNNNNNNNNNNNNNNNNNNNNNNNNNNNNNNNNNNNNNNNNNNNNNNNNNNCCUUCGACGCCAACGACCAGUCGACACGUGAGCCGGGUCCCACUUUUAUUUUAGUCAAAUUUUUGCCGCGUCCUUCUCCCGCCCUUCGCAUUUGAAGUGCCCUUUCUCUUCUGUCUUCUCCCGCACGAAGUCUCUCUCACAAAAAUCUUUCUCCGCCUCUUUCGACACCGACGAUCAGCACCGCCCGAGCGCCCUCCUCGUCCGGCGGUACUCGAUCUCCGCCGCCGCCACCGCCGCCUCCUCGCCGCCCUCGCAGCUCCCGCUGGCCUCCAAGGUCCGCGGCUUCGAGCCGCGGAAGUCGUCGUCGACCUCCGCCUCCUUCGACGCCGACGACCAGCACCAGCCGAGCGCCCCCCUCGUCCGGCGGUACUCGAUCUCCGCCGCCGCCCUCGCAGCUCCUGCUGGCCUCCAAGGUCCAGCGGCUCGCGGACAAUGUCCAGGUUUUUCCGAAACUCUUCGAUCGUCUCUCGCGCUCUGUUUUGGCUCCCGAUUAAGUUGGGGGAUUUGCCUGUUUCGAAUUUUUGCUUCUUGCUUCGGUCGAUUCCUUCUCUGUUGCCGAACUCUGAGAAGAGCGAUUUCCGGAUGCAGCUUGCGAGGCAGGAUUACUUGGAGCUGAGACAAGAGGCGAGCGAAGUGCAGGAGUAUUCCAACGCGAAGCUCGAUCGAGUGACGCGCUACCUCAGCGUUCUCGCAGACAAGAUGCGGAAACUAGGUGAGGCGGUGCGGCGUCUGUUGUGCCUCGACGCACGUUUGCUUUCUCAUUUCGGUUUUUGACAGGUUCUGUGCUUUGUGUCAGAUCAAGUCGCCCUUGAAGGUGAGGCUAGGAUAGCACCGCUCGUCAGUGAGAAAGAGGAAGUUGUUCAAUGAGUUGUUGAAAUCCAAAGGUCAGUCUUUGGUUUCUUAAUUGAGUUCUCCCACUUUCCACACGAAGCACGUGGAGUGGAAGUACUUGGAUAUGAGCUGAUAAUUCAGAAAAUUUAUUGUUUGAAUUGCAAUUCAUUUUCGGGAUGAUGUUCCUGUUGGAUGGAUGGGUAGAGAUAGCUUGCUUGUAUGGCAAUUUUGCAGUGUGUAGUAGGAGAACAAAACUUGAGUUUAACGAGUAAGAUCGAGUUGGAAUAUGACUGAUAGAGUUUUAGCGAUGAAGUGCAGAUUAACUUGAGAUAACAGUUGCCAGUUUGUCAUGCAUUUCUGAUCGUUGUUAGUCUGAAAAAUUGAGCUGUUUGUUAGUUAAGGACUCAUUAUGCCUCAUAGAUUCGUUAAUCUGUAAAUGGAGACCAGAUAUCAAGAACGAAAAUGAUUUUUUACUCUCUAUAUGUCUUCUCCUUCUAGAUCAGUCUGAUACUUUGAUUGAUGGUUACAUAGAAAUUGAAUCUCUUGGAUUAAACUUAUGGAAGAACUCCCAAGAAAUAUGGUUUCACUAGAGCAAUUAUGACCUGGAAGUCAAUCCGGGGCAAGUGUUCGGAUCUAUUAUGACAUAGCCAUGAGGCGCGCAACGGACCUUUUUAAUCUUCUACAACCUUUUCCGGGCUUUAAAUUGAUGCAAAAAACAUUUUUUUGUGCAACCUAGUGUAAGUGUAUUUAUUAAUAUCUCAAUUCAAAGUUUCUAGACAUCGCUACUUUAUGUCUUACAUUAGAGAGAACAUGUAUAUAUUAAUUAUUUAUAUUAAUUAUUAUAUUAAUUAUCAUUAAUUUCCAUUUGGACUCCUUUCACAUCAUCAAUUCACCAUUGAUUGCCCAAUCACUUGAUUGGUCGACCUAAGUUAUACUAAUAGUGUUUUAAGUGAGAAGGACAGAUCAUCUUCAAGCCAUUUGGUUGGCUAUGAGUGCAGGAGGUGCACACACGUUAAUUAACUGUUUGGUUUAGAAGUUGGGCUAUUUGUUAGUUAGUUGCUGAGGGACUAUAGUUCAAUUGGUUACUCUCUAAUGGAAGCACAGAAAUCGAUCAAGAUAGGGAAUUCCUCUGUUCUUUGUGUGCUCUCUUCUCUUACUAUAAUAAUUUGUUUCAACAGCUCUUCUCUUCAAUUUCCAGUCCUCCCUUUUUGAGGCUGUACGAAGUUUUUUGGUCAGAAAUUUAUGGGUAUUUUCCUUUCCUAUGAUGAUUUGAAGAUGCUUUUAAUUUCAGGGAACAUAAAGGUAUUCUGUCGUUCGAGACCAUUAUUUGAAGACGAAGGUCCCUCUGCUGUAGAAUUCCUUGAUUACUAUCUGUGUCGACACUAGUGAUGAGACCAGUACCAAUCCUAAGAAAGAUUAUGAAUUCGAUAGGGUGUAUGGACCUCAUGUUGGACAGGGUGAGCUAGAAAAUGAUUAAUUUUGUUACAUAACAGGCAGCAUUUGAAAAUUUUUUGGUACAUACUAGCUACAUGGCUGGUGGUUUGCAUGGAGGUUUGUUAUCUUACGGUAGGACUGGUGCAUGUGCAGCUGAUAUAUUUAAUGAUGUUCAACUGUUGGUUCAAUCAGCUUUGGAUGGAUUUAAUGUGUCAAUAUUUGCUUAUGGACAAAGUAACUCAGGAAAGAUGCACACUUGAAAAUUUUUUGGUACAUACUAGCUACAUGGCUGGUGGUUUGCAUGGAGGUUUGUUAUCUUACGGUAGGACUGGUGCAUGUGCAGCUGAUAUAUUUAAUGAUGUUCAACUGUUGGUUCAAUCAGCUUUGGAUGGAUUUAAUGUGUCAAUAUUUGCUUAUGGACAAAGUAACUCAGGAAAGAUGCACACUAUGGUCUCUCUCUCAAACAUGCUCCCAUUGAAUAUUAUCUCCCUAUGAGCUAAAUAUCCAAAUAUUUAAGGAGCUAAAAGUUCUGCUGCUUGCAUUUCUUAGAUCUUAUUGUCAUUGGUUUGAUCUUUGGCAAUCAUAGUUAUCUGAACGGGGGCCUUUGUAACAUUAUGAUGAACCACGUUCACCCACCAUGUCAUUCCACAAAAUUCUGAUAUGGAAGUUGACAUGAUGGUGUUUUUUGAUGCUUUUCAGGAAGGAUCUAGCCAUGAUCGUGGUCUGUAUGCUCGUUGUUUCGAGGAGUUCUUCGAUUUUGUGAAUUCAGAUGCAACUGCUACAUCUAGAUAUGACUUUUCUGUCACAGUUUUUGAACUCCACAAUGAACAGGUUUCUUUUCUUUUUUACUCACCAUAAAUAGCUUCAAGUUAGGUGUUUUGAAUGUGUACGUCUUGUCUUGAUGUAAUCGUGCUUCCACAUGCUUAUUUAUGUAGGUACGAGAUUUGGUGCAUGAAUCAGGAAGGAAUUCAUCGAAAAUCUGCAUGGGAUCUUCGGAUUUUUUUGUCGAACUUACACAGGAAAAGGUCGACAAUCCAUUGGAUUUUCUGAAGGUUCUGAAAGACGCAUUUCAAAGUCGAGGAAAAUGAUGUUUUGAAGUUCAAUAUUUCUCACUUGUACGGUUUGAAUUCCACGCACCCUCUCUUGUUGCUUUUCUGGGUUUUGUGCUUUCUUGAUAUAUUAUGAUGACAAUGUUAGCUAGAAACUUCAUUUUGCUGAAGGGUGAAUAACUGUGCAAUUUUUUCUUUUUGAAAGAAUUCAAAAAUAAUUCGUGAGGAUACAAAGAAUGAAAAAUAAAUUUGAGCAAUUAGUACAGAUAUACCGUAAUGUCUACUAUUAUCAAUUACCCUCUUAAACAGAUUCAAUUGAUUGUGGUGCCAAGCUUCUGAAAUGAACAAUAAUGUUUUCCUUAGAUAUUAGGAACAGCAUUUGUUCAUACCUUUCGUAAUCAGAGUUUCAAGCCCCUCUUGGCUGCUUUAUCAUCAUUAGAUGGAUUAGUUUGUUUGGCUGAAAUUAUUUAUAGGUAUUGCAUGGAAGAGGAUGCUACUCAACCUAGUUGUUUACUUUUACUUUCAGGGAGUACCACACCUUGAUAAUUUUAGGAGAGGAUUUUUUCUUUUACUUUUAAAGCCAAAGCUGAACACUAGCGAUACACAUGAUAAUUACAAAACGUUAUACUUGAUUAAGUACACGGCAGUGACCUCUAACCCUCCCAUGCCCAAGCCAUUGUUCAGUUUUAAUUGAUACUUUUUGAUGUAUUCUCCUGUUAUAUAAUCAGGAUCGUGACAAUCCAUAUAUCCUACAACAACUUGGUUACUGGAGAAAACCUGUAUAGCAAGCUUUCUCUUGUUGAUUCGGCCUCCUUUUACUCAUGGGCUAAAGUGAAAGGCAUUUGACUUGUCUGCUUCCUCUAUUGUUUUCAUGGGCUGUAUUGGCUUUUCAUAUGUGGAGGCUUUUGCUCCAUUGACUAAGUUUUUUUCUUAUAUUUUUGGGUGAUUAUGCAAGGUGCUCUUCAGUUUACUUCUUUCUUUUGGUAACGAUACUUUCUCAGAUUUUUGACAUGCUUAUCAUUCUUUUUAGAUAUCAAGUCCAUUAUCGAAAGGAACCGCAAACAUGCCAUCUCGGUACGUUUCUGAGAUGAAACUUGCUUUUUGUGAUUCUAGCCUACACCAUGUUUCACACUGUCCAUUCUUCCAUUGUCGGUUUUUCCAGGACAAGUAACAAUGAUGUCGGACGUACUCUGGAUGUUGUUCCUUCGCCAUUAAGUGCUGAAAAGUCUGCCGGUUCAGUUGCUCUGGUCAAAGCAAGUUCUGAGAAAGUUAAAACUAAGACCUGCAGGAGAAUACCUGACUGCAGGUGCUGCGUGAGGCAAAAUGCUGCUCGGAACUGCUCUAAAACUUGAGAAAAACAAGCCUGUAAUCCCAAAAAAGGACUAACUGUUGCCAAAAGUCGAGAGAGUUCUCUUCAAACAAGACCAAGCCAAUGUCAUGCUUCUACACAAGAUAAAACAUGUUGGAUUUAUUUCUUUCUCGGAAUUUGUAUUGUGAACGCAAACAUGUGUCCUAUUAGCUUAGUAGUUGAAGUAUGAAUUGUAAACAUUAGAAGGAUGAAAUAUUCAUUUGUUAAUGUAAGUAAAUUUCAUCUUGGUUUCUUUACUUACUUUGUGUAACAAGAGAUUCAUUUGUCAAUUGCAAUAUGAGGAGAAUUUUGAUAUUUAAUUUAUGAAUGUGUUAUCUACAUGAAGACUUUUCAUGGAGGAGAGAAUUCAAUAGUUCAAGAGAAUAAAUUAUAAAUUCAAAGUGCAAUUUCAAGAGUUGAUCUCCGUCGUAUGUUGUUCAACUUGUUCUCACAUUAACUCAUCUUUCAUUUGGGGAAAACGCCAAAUUUGCACAAAGAAGUGAGUGGCAUCAAUGUGAUUCAAAAUUCAAAGUGCCAAGUUUCAACAGGAGUUAAUAAUCACAUUAUGAACGAAAUUGUUCAUUACAUCAAGUCUUGUGUAUUGAUUUAACAAGGGAAUUGAUAUCAGGUUAAACACUUCAUAAAUCUGCAAGAGUAACUCCACAUUUAGAAGCUCAACCACAAGUUCUGGGAAAUCUAUGCCACAUUGGCAGGACAAAUGAAACAGGGAGCUUGAAGAUAAUGACCAUGGAAGUAGAGAAGAAGCAGGACAUCGGGAACACCAUGUCUCCUGAUUGAUUAUCCUUGGUUGAUCACUUUCUUCUUUAUUAAUGACAAGCACUAUUCUCUAAUAACAAAGUUAAUUGAAUAAGCAUUGAACCAACAUGAAAAAGCCAUUCAUAUUUAUCCAAGGCUCGGAUGUCACCAAAACAAGGAUCGCUUGCAAAUUCGGAUGCCGGGAAUAUCCUCCAAACCCAUUUUCAGUGCUGUCUUUCGGAAUAGCACAAGAGGAUUUUUCAAACCAAUGGACUUGCAAAAUCAGUUGGCUAGCUCCACAAGUGUUGUUUUGUCCCUCCCAAUCUCCCUGAUCGAGUUAUAGUAGCCAAAGCCAAGCAUGGUAUGCUGCUUCUUUAAAACUAGUAACAACAGUAAAACCUAUGCCAAUCAAAGCAACUGCACCAUCGUGCAUGUGAAUGAACAUAAGUGACUUGAGUUUGCAUUAAAACCUGCCACAUGCUUAUUGUAGAACGAAGAAAAUAUACAAAGAAGCUUCUUAAAACAGCAUAUUGUCAUAUUCAACUAGAUAAUUGAUGCGUUUAGACAAUGGGAACUUGUUUGGUGCCCCAUCAACAAUUAAGCAAAACACCAACCAAAAAAAAAAAAAAAUGACAAUAGGUAAAAACAUCAUCUAACCGUAGUCCACCUCAUAAGUAGUAAGAAAUUGAAACAUUGAUUCUUUGCUUUUCAUUAACACAAAAGAUGCAGCUGAAAAUCUUACCCAAAAAAAGAUGCAGCUGAAAAAAAAAUCAUCUCAUAGCAAUACUCACCGUCCAUCAUGGCCAUCAAAAUGCUCGAUCCAAUCAGGCAAAUGCUUUCUAGCACUUUUCCUUCAGGCUUGUUCAAAUUGAGGCGGCUCAUCUAGAUAGUCACAACGUUACAUAUAUGAACUAUAUGAAUGAACCUUUUUUAGGAAUCCGGCAACAAUAAGAAGAUCAAUAACUUCGUUUAGAUUGUGUAGAGUCUGCAUAGUAUUGACCUUACCAUUAGAAUUAAGCUUCCUAGUAACAGCAUGGCCCUGCAGAAGUAUUGCUACAAGUCUUGGAUGACCAACACCCCAUCCGUGCUAGGGUGUUGGUCAUCUCUUGAAUAUGCCUUUUAAAUAAACCAUGCCCUUCUCACUGAGCUGAAACUCCUUCCUCAUCUGCUCAACUUGCUGAUCAAUCCCCUGAACAACGAUCUCCAAUAGCGUCUAGUCUUCCGCCACUAUCAUCUUUACCUUAAUUAGCUCCUUCCUCAUUGCUCACCUCCAUAUCAAGGGUUUAGCCUAUUCACACAUGACUUCCACUCUUCCAAGAUGAGGAACACUAGAACUCAAACUCUUCAAUGGAAAACAAUCUUCAAUUACGCUAAGGGCCUCAAUGCAGUGAUCCAAAACCAGUUUUUACGAAUGUCCAGAACAGUUAUUGUAGGAAUCAGGCCAACGCUAGCAAGGCCAAUGCAGGAGCAAAAUGUCAGCAAUGCUGCUUGCCCUUGGCUUAGAGUCAUGAUCCCUUCAAACCUUUAAACAAGAACAUGAAGCAAAUUAAAUAGCAGCCCUUUUAGAACAGAGCAUCAUGCGUGGUUUGCUUUCAUUUGCACUAACAAUGGUGGCAAAAAACUCAUAAGCAGACACGCUUCCCCCUCCCGGCAGCCCCCGAAGAGCAUUUUGUACCAAACCCAUCACCACCAAAGAGGAAAGAAAAAAUACCAAUGUUCAUGAAUCAAAGCAAGUAAGGUAUAGUGAAUUGGUCGAUGCAGAUAAGGAAAAAAAAAUGAAGGAUGAUAACAUCAAAUUCAAACGUAAAUAUUCUCUUGUCAUAGGUUGCUUGGCCUCAUAAUCUGUUGAUCACAUUUUCUCCCCUUUUUAGUUUGCUGCAUAGCUUUCAUUACCGUGUGGCAACAUCCAUAUUACGAAGUUACUCAAUGUCUAAGGAAGUUAUUUAACCUGGACACAAGAUGUAAGGUGAUCAUUCUAACCCAUUUUCUAUCCCUCCCAGAAAAAAACAGACAGACACUCUCAUUUCAAAUUUUACAUACUAGGUGAUGUCAUAAACUAUAAGUGCUCCAGCGACUCCUCUAUAUUAAGAUCUAAUGAUGGAUCUGAAAGAAUUCCUGUCCUACUUGUAAUUAAAAAAAAAAACAUUCAAACGAGUCAUGAGCAAUGCUUGUGUAACCAUACGGACAUUUAUAUAGUGCAUUAUCUCAAAUUCAAGCGUUUCUGAAUUCUUUCACAAACUCCGUACGUAUAAAAGUAAAUCACUGGAAAUGUGGAGAAAUGGGUUCCAUCUCAAGCACUCUCUGCUAGCCAAAAUGGAGAGGGAGUAGGUGUCACUGGCUUCUCUCUGCAUCUCUCUGUCUUUGACGUGCUUAAUGGCACAUGUUAUAUCAAUCAAGUUCAAAAUUUUCCUAUUGACUGCAAGUAAAAGGUACAUCAUGUCCCUAAACUAGGAUUGAGUUUCCCACAAUGACAUAUAUCCUACCAUGAUAAAUCUAAACAUACGCCACAGACAACGGGUUUGAAUUGCUAAAAAAUACAGGCUCAACUUUGCAGGUUCAUCCCACUUAAAUUUGCUCAGAUACUUGAUAUUCCAGAGAUCAUAAUAAAAUGAGGAUCCAACCUCAUUGGAAUUGAACCUCAUCACAACCAUAGGGAAAUGGAUGGCUCCAUACCUAUCGAUGACCUUAACCUCCAUGUUGGGAUCAAACCUCCUCAUCACAACCACAGCGUACACCCUAACGACAACAGUCCCAAGACAGAGACGGCCAUAUAUGUGAAAAAUUGGCAGGACAAGGACAACCAAAUAUACAUUCUUGGAGUUCGGGUACUCGUACUAAGAAACUUCGAACCUUGCAAAGAGCUCGCACAUGGCGAUGAAAUUACCAUGUGUGAGCACAACCCAUUUGCUCACGGCCAUAGUGUUGGAUGAGUACACUAUAGACCCAGCACAGAAGCACCAACGAUGAAUGCGGGGCGGGAUGAGGAAGCACCAGAAGCACCAGUGAUGUGCUGGAGGCGGUGGAUCUGAGCUCGGCUGCGACGAGCGAACUCUUGGGAGGGAGAGAUUUUCGAAAGAGGGCUUCAUGCGGCUUGAGGGAGUGGCGAUAGCGGAGGCGGAGGCGAUGUGUCAAAGGCGGCGGAUCUGAGCUCGGGUGCAACAAGCGGGCUUCUAGGAGGGAGAGAUUUUUUAAAGAAGGCUUCGUGCGGCUUGAGGGAGUGGCGAUGGCGGAACUCGAGAUGCGACGGGCGGGCUCCUGAGAGAUAUUUGAAAGAGGGCCUCGUGCAGCCUGAGGGAAUGUCUCCAGGACAGCGGAGGCGUCGUGCCGGAUGCGAUCGGCGGGCUAUUGGGAAGGAGAGAUUUUUGAGAGAGAGAGACUUCGUGCGGCUUGAUGGAGAAGACAGAGAAGAGAGAGGGCACUUCAAAUUCGAAGGGCGGGAGAAGACAGAAAAGGACGCAGCGAUUAAUGAAGAGAGAGAAGGAGAAGGCAAAAAGAGGGACCCAGGCUCCAGGUGGCGACACGUUUCGCAUCCUGAUUGGGCGGGCGCACCUAAUAUUUUCUCGUGAGGGAGGGAGAAGGGGAGACAGACUUGUGGGGCCUUUUACGACACGUGUCGCAAAAUAAAUGGACUCGUUUUUGGCUGAGUUGGCCUCAGAGCUGCGGUUAAUAUUUUCUCAUCUAUUAGCCCCCACUGGCAGAGCGAGCAGCGGUGUCCAAAUCUUGAAAGGACAUGUUGGAAAUGCACAUGCAUGAGUUUUGGAGUUUUAACUCCGCCUUUGAUUAUACUCGAAAUGGACGUGUUAAGCUAUAUUACGUGGAAAGUCAGUCCAUCAUUCUUUUUCAUAGGUUUAAAAUUUGAAUCUUUUUUUUUUUUUUUUCAGGUUUAAGAUUUGAACCCCCUUUUUAAAUAAAACAUUCGAGCAUAUAAGGAAUCCCAAUAAUGUCUGAUGGCAAAUGCUACGGAUGGAAAGAGUUUCUUUUUCUUUUCUAAAAAAAGAAAUUUCUUUACUUCCUACACCUUGUAAUGAAAAUAUAAUAAAAUCAUAUUUGAUUUUAUGGACAAAGCUGUUAAUUUGUGGUCGUAGAGUUUAAUAAAAGAACAAUCAGAUCAUCAGGUCAUGUUUGUGAGUCGCGUUGUUUGCAUUGCAAAAUAAAUUAGCUUGAAGCCUGACAACCACUCACGUGGAGUGGAGUGGAGUUAAUGAGAAAAUAUAUUAGGUGGUUCCGGAUCACCAGGUCAGCGUGGUCUCCAACCACUCAGGAAGCGACACGUGGAGGUGUGGGACCUGCUCACCAGUAAACGAAUUUAUGCACAAAAUUAAUUUCAUUUCUCUCUCAGUAACCUGCACACACUAGCUCCAUAUGCUCUCUCUCUCCUGCUCUGCACACAUUUCUUUCUUUGUCUCAUAUUCUCUUUCCUCUUCGUACUUUCCUUGUUUGAAGAAGAAGAACGAAGAGCAAACCUCUUUCCUUUCUACCGAAUGCUCUCAAAAAUUGAAUCUCUUCCUUUGCUCUUAGAUUUGACUGAUUCGCGCUUGUUGUUGCUCCGGCGUUCGUCAAACGGCCGCUCCCCUACCGUCGCCGACAAAUCACAUUAAGGCCGCCCCUCGCGCGCUCGAAAGGGAGUGAGGCAGAGGCAGAGGGGCCGAUGACCGCCCUCAACAGAGCUUCGGGUUCUCAAAGUUCUUCGGGAGCAAGUAUGAGCUUGAUAUCAUUCCUAACAAAGAGAACCCGAAUGAAAACAAUGCAGAAUCACCAAAAGUCAGUAGUUUCUUCGACCAAUUUAUAGUUUUUGGAGGUUUCAAAUAAUUGAAAAUAAAAUCCCCGAGAGCUUCAAAAGCAGAUGGAACUUUUAAAAAGCAUUCUGUCUCCAGAUAAGUUCAGAACGAAUGCGCUGCGAAAAGUUUCUUAUUCUUCCCCUCCCCACUUCUCUUCUGCUGUUAAAAUAGAUGCGAAAGCAUAAUUUUUUUUUUUUUUUUUUCUAUGGUUGGAGAAGUUGCUGCAAAAGAGAGAUAGAGUAUCGAUACAGACGAACACUCUGCGGAUCUAGUUUCGUCUGGUCCACAAGAUACCAAUACACCAUUUCACUUGGAAUCUGUCAUGUGAGAUUAACUAAUAACUCUAUUCAUUUGACAUCGCCAAGAAUAAAAGUAUAGUUAGUGUGUGGCGAGAAAGGGAAAAAAGGCCAGACGCAAAAGAAGAAACCGCCAUUUGAGCACCACACAAGUCAGAGCUUUUCGAUUCCCCAUUAUCAAACACAACCAUCUAAUAAAAUCUUCCGUAGAAGCUUACAUAGAAACAUGCGCUAACAAGAAUGGAGUUAGCACAAUUUAAAAGCCAAGAGAAAAAGAAAAAAAUAAAAGGGCUAUGUUAAAUGUUGCCAAACCAUUUUCUAUAUACAACCAAAUCAUCGUCUAAAAUCCCGUCCCCUACACAGCACCGACCCCCUUCUUGGCCUUCUUCACCAGCAGCUUCACGCUUUUCGGCUUCUUCACCGGUUUCUUCUUCACCUUCGCGGCAGCAACCUUCUUUACAGCUUUCUUCCCGGGCAUCGCCUUUGCAUAAGUCUUCACUGCUUUUGCUGCGGGCUUCAACUUCAGCUUCUCGGCUUCACACCCGUCACAGCUUUCUGCUUCAUAGUUGCUUUGGGCUUGGCGGCAGCAACAACGUUCGCCUUGGGUGCCACCGCCUUCGUUACAGUGGAUUUCAAAUUUUGGCCCUUAACUAUCACCAUUCGUAAAUGUUAGUUAACCGUUCUUGAGUAGUAAAAUUGCACAAGAACUAGCGGUGGCAAUCGGCGAUGGACAGCGAAGUGAGAUAGAAGCCAAACGAGUUGCACAGGAGACAGAGCGUGCAGGCUAGGAGGAGAGAGUGCGUCGGCAGGCUAGGAAGAGGAGAGAGAAUGGGAAGAAGGCAGAAGACACCAAUUUCCCAAGUGAGGCCACCCCUCCACAUGGCACCUCAUGAGUGGCCGGGGACCACGCUGAUGUGAUGUGGAGUUCCCGGACCACCCAAUAUUUUCUCGUCUAGGAUCAGCCAAUAUUUUCUCCUUUUGUUUUCUGAUAAAAGCAUGGUUAUUGAAAUAACGCAAGUUUACAAACUGGUCCGCUCAAAUCUUAAAGAUCGGCUAGGCUCAGUUCUGUUUUUCACUUGCAGCUAUCAAGAGGAGCACCGCACAAGCACCGGUUGUGGAAGUACACCGUGUAAUCGAAGCUCUGCAACCGCCCGCCCACCGGAAUCUCCCCGCACAGCCGGUUGUAGCUCACGUUCAGGAACUGGAGACUCUCCAUGGCCGUUGGAAUGGACCCGUAAAUCUUAUUAUGGUUCAUGUCCAGGGUCUGCAGGCUCCCGUUAAAAUCCACCUUCGACAGGUCGAACUCGAACUGGUUCCUCGAGAUGUCGAUGUGGUACGUGCUCUUGUUCCUUCCGAGCACCAGCGAUGCGUCCCCUUGAAGCCUGUUCCGGGAAAGGUCGAGCUUCCCGAAGUCGACGCCGGCGAAGGUCGCCGGGAGCUCCCCGGAGAGGCUGUUGUGAGAGAGGAUGAGGUAGAGGUUGUUACCCUUGAGGUUGGCAAGGGAAGCCGGUAUCUUCCCGGUGAGCUGGUUACGGUCGAGGCCGACGGUGCCGAGGCCGGGGAUGGUGGAGAGAGAGUCGGGGAUGCUGCCGGUAAGCUUGUUGAAGGAGAGGUUGAGGUAGGUGAGGUUCUUGAGCUGGCCGAGGAAGGAGGGGAUUGGGCCGGUGAGAUUGAGCCAGCUGAGUCUCAAGAAAUUCAGGUACUUGAGCUUGGUGAAGGACUCUGGGAUCGGGCCGGUGAAGUUGGAGAGCUUGUGGAGGGUGAGGGAUUGGAGGUAAGUGAGGUCGCCGAUGGCGGAGGGGAUUUGGCCAGGGAGGUCGGCGGCGAAUAAGAAGAGGGAGAUGACGCGGUGGGUCUUGCGGUGGCACUUGAGGCCGUACCAGUAGCAGCAGUCGGUGUCCGGGUUCCAGGAGGGGAGGAGGUAGGGGCUGUCGAGGGAGAACUUUAUGCGGAGGAGGACCUCCUUGUCCUCGGGGUGGCAGAGGAUGGCGGAGGCGGGGCGGAGGAGGAAGGAGAGGAGGGGCAGGACGAGCAGGAGGAGGCGGGCCAGAGACAUUGUUGAAGGUAGUGGUGGAGAGUUGUAUUUUAUAGGAGGAAGUCGUGUGUGGCAACUGGGGGAAGGUUUGCUGGAUUUGGACUCAUUUAAGACGAGAAAAUAUUAGGUAGGAAACACUACCCGUAGGCAAAGUGGAAAACCAUACAAAAUUGACACGUGUCGUCCACGUCAGCAAUUCAAAAUUUGGCUCUCCCUCUUCCUCUGUCCUCUCUUCAAUAGACUCUGGCCCAUCUCUCUCAACACGCUCUGAUGCUCUCUCUCCUAUGCUGUCCUUUGACAGCGAAUUGGCCAGCAAGGGCGUUCCGCAGAGGAAAGAGAGACAGGGUGGAGCGGAGGUCGCGAGAGGGAGGCAAAGGGGCAUUGGCAUCGGCGUUGGGGGCGAAGGCGGAGGCGCGUCGGCAUCGUGCUUCGCUGGAAGAGAGGCACGACUUCGCGAAGGGGGGAGAGGGAGAGAGAGAGCGGAGCGGAGGUCGUGAGAGGGAGGCGAAGGAGCGUCGGCGGCGUCGGCGGUAGGGUCGAGGGCGACGGAGGCAACCGGUGGAGGCAAAGGCGGAGGGGUUGAACCUUUGUUUUUUUUUUCUCUGAACCCUCCGCGAUUUUGUUCUCACUGCAACGAAGCGGAGGAGAGGGAGAGACAGGAGAGGGAGGAGGGAGACGGUCUGCAGAGGAGAGCAGAGGAGAGAGAGCGUCAGAGUGUGUGCAGAGAGGUGAGAAAAUAUUGAUUGGGUGGUCCGGGACCACCCAAUAUUUUCGAAGAACAAAGGAGAGGGGAGAGCAAAAAUUGUUGAGAGUGGGACCCGAAUUACACGUGGACGACGCGUGUCGACUUUUGUAUGGUUUUCCAUUUCACCUACGAUGAUGAGUGUUUCACCUACCUAAUAUUUUCUCCAUUUAAGACUAUUUCUACUUCUAAUUCUAUAAUUUCUUUUAUAUAUAUAUAUAUAUAUAUAUAUAUAUAUUAUAUAUCUCUUCGCAAAUAAUUUUUCUAAAAUGCAAAGUAUACGCUCUUUUCCCAUUCUUUUGAAGAAUUGCUGGUGGAAUUACUGCUCUAUAAUUUAAGAAUGCAAAUCCUUAGCAAUAAUUAAGAGUAAAUUAUAUUAGUGGGCCCACGCGCUAACGCGACUUUGAAGUAAGAGCCAUUUUGGAUAUGAGAACCCCAUCUUGCUCAUGAUGUCUCAAAACACUUUGGAUUCAUUUUGCCAAGCAUGGAAAUUCAUCUCAAUAUCAUCACCCAUUCUUAUAUCCUUAUUUGUUUUGUUUAUUUCAUUCAUGCUAAAUUACAUUCACGAUAGAUAGAAAGAACACAAAUUUUUUAUCAUUUCGGUCUAGGAAAGGAAAAAGUCUUUUGUUAUUGAAAGAGAACUUUGAUUUGAUUAAAGUACAAAGAAGUCCAGAUAUAGCAAAAGGUUUACUGACUUAAUAUAAGUGAAGAUACACACAUAAUGACAAAAUCAACUAAAAGUGUAUAUACAAAUGGUUGAUGGAGAUAAUUAUUCAAAAAGUUCUAAAUUUAUUAUACAUCGAUUAAUUCAGUCUUAAAUUUUUUAUUGAUUUGUCAAUUUAAUCUUAAACUUUUUUACUGUAUUAAUUAAGUCUUAAAUCUUAUGAAAUUUUAUUUAUUUAGUCUUGAACUUAUUAUGUAGAUAAUUAGUUGAAAAUAUUAUAUUGACAAAUUGUUUUUUUUUUUAUGACUCAAGGAAAUCCGUAAACUGACAGCCGGCGGGUAAACCCUGAGGCCCACGGAGGAAACCACUACUCUCGUGAAAUGGGUAAGUUCACUUGUAACGUGCUAAGGAUUCGAACUUCUCCCAUUCGUAAGGGGGAAAAAACCCGAAACCAAUAGGGCCACUCAGUGCAAUGGUAAUAAUGACAAAUUGUUGAUACGUUUAGAUUGAACAAUUUUUCCAUAGUCGGCGCUACUUGGAACGGUCAAGAACGAAAGCUAUCUCUCCUUCAACCUUAUUUACGGAUGCCAUGUUCAUUCCUCCAUGUGGCUCGGCAUAUGCGAAGCGGCCAGUGAAGGAGGCCUACGCUGGCAUUUAAAGAUUUGUCCAUAGUUGACUGUCGAAAGGGGCCUGGGACUACUCUUUCAAGGGAUCAUCCCCUGAUUUGCGUUACUGUGGCUAGGCCCGAUCCGUUCCCAUCGUCUUGAUGAUCUAGUCGGAUUGAAUUAAGAAAUUGCUUGUUUUUUCAUGACACUGUUGGUUUAGGAAUCUGUUUUCAGCACCCCUGGGGGUUGCAUGCUGCAAAUCAAAUGCUCUAGAAUGUCCUGGAUAACCUCUAGCAGAUUGGGUCAAUCGUAAAUUACAAGUACGGCAUUGACAAGUUAUUCAAAUAUUAGAUAUCGUAAUCACUUCCGUUAUAUAAAAUAAGUUCCAUUGCUUGUUGAGUAAAAUUGUCGACCCAGGAACGGGUGAGAGAAGUCCACAAGUGUAUUGUUCCAAGAUUUGGCGCGUGACUAAGAAACAUAGAAUUUGGAAAGAAAAUCUUUUCCUUUGAAAAAUGAAGUCAAAGUUACGCGAAAUCAAAUUAAUAGACAUCAUUUGCGUAGAUUCCCAUUUAGAGAACACAAAGAAAUCAACCAUAGGAAGAACCUGCAUAUAUCACGUGUCCUCAAAUCUAUGUUUGGAACUUUUAAAGGUUGCAUAUAAAAUUUGCUUGCUCAUUCCUUCCAAUCUGUGGGAUUUGUAGGUGUGAACUUCAAUUUGUGUCUAGUGGGUAUUAGUAUCAUCAUAUAAGCAAUGCGUUCUAGUUGGAUUUCCUGGACAACGACUCAUUCCAACUUCGGGCCUAGGGCUAUUUCCUCGGACAGAUUUCUCCAAUUCAAUCCAAAUUGAAAAGGGGCAAAUUCCUCUGCUUCGGUUGGAAGGGGAGUAUGUGUAAACUCCCUAUAUUACAUUGGCAAUUUGGCAUCAAUGUCGGGUCCAAAGUGAGAAUAAGAAAAAAAAUGAAGCGUAAGUAAUUCACUUGUAAAAUGCAUCACAAUAUUUUUAACCACACAUACCAUUAUCAACACAAGUUAGUAAAUGAUUUGUCCGGACUAUGUAAAAAUAGAUAUGGAAAAUGGAAUAUCAUCAUUUUAUUAUUUUUUUUUAUGGUAUAUCAUAAUUGACAAUAAGGUUAUUCUCAUAAAAUUCAAUGUGCCCGAUUCACGAACGAUAUAAUUCAAAUGCUUACCUAAUUUCUAAGGGCAUUUUAAAAGUAAUCUUCUCUUUCAAGGAAAAAGUAAAAAUAUUGUCAUCCAGCCAGGGAGCUGUAAAAUUUCUUGAGAUUAGGGUCGGGAUUAAGUCAAGCACGAUCCAUCGGUACAACAGCAGGGAUUGUGGAGUUCACUUGGUCAAAUGGACAUCCAAGUGAGCCCAAGGCAAAGCAUAUGCUCUAAUCUCUAAUUUGGGAUUAACAAGAAAAUAUUGUUGUACUAUCCAUUCCCGAGCGAUUGCGGGACUUCUGUGACGGUCACGCUUCGUCCUGUGCUGGGCACUGCGCGGCGCGUGGGUGUUCGGACGACGUUGGGAUGUGGAGGGACCAGCUGAACGAGAUGAUAAUAUCGACCCAAGGCGGGGUCCGGAAACGACAGGAGAAAGUUGUCUGGUCUGUGGAGAGGAAGAGCUUUGAGUGGGGAAGCACCAAAACAGCACCACUGAACCAAAAAAGGAAAAUCUCGUCCAAAAAAAAAAAAAACCAAAAAAGGAAAAGAAUCAGGCUGAUAUCGAUAAUGGAUAAGGAUAUUACGGGGGCCCACCGAGCAACUUGUAUGGCAGAACCUUCUUUCGCAAAAUGAGAAAAUAAAGGAAGCACACGUUUGACCAAGGACUCAACUUACCUUAUUGAGAAAAUAUCGGCUGAAGCUGUCAUCUCAGCAAAAAACGAGUCCAUUUAUUUUACGACACGUGUCAUCAAAGGCCCCGCAAGUCAGUCUCUGUCUCCCCUUCUCUUCCUCCCUCACCCUCUCUUCUCUCUCUGCACGUCUUCCCCUUUCUCUCUCUCCUCCGCCUGACCCCUUUUCUCCUCUGUUUUUAUAUAUAUAUAAAUAUCGGGAUUCAAUAGGCAGCUCCUUUUCUUUUUCUGAUAAAAUCAUGGUUAUUGAAAUAACGCAAGUUUACAAACUGAUCCGCUCAAAUCUUAAAGAUCGGCUAGGCUCAGUUCUGUUUUUCACUUGCAGCUAUCAAGAGGAGCACCGCACAAGCACCGGUUGUGGAAGUACGCCGUGUAAUCGAAGCUCUGCAACCGCCCGCCCACCGGAAUCUCCCCGCACAGCCGGUUGUAGCUCACGUUCAGGAACUGGAGUUCCAGACCCGCCACGGCCUUCGGAAUCGACCCGUAUAUCUUAUUAUGGUUCAUGUACAGGUACAGCCACCACAGGCUCUCGUUAAACUCCACCGUCGACAGAUCGAACUCGAACUGGUUCCUCGAGAUGUCGAUGUCGCUUGUCCUCUUGCUCCCCCCGAACAGCAGCGACGCGUCCCCCUGAAGCCUGUUACGGGAAAGGUCAAGCUUCCCGAAGUCGACGCCGGCGAAGGUCGCCGGGAGCUCGCCGGAGAGGCUGUUGUGGGAGAGGAUGAGGUAGAGGUUAUUACCCUUGAGGUUGGCAAGGGAAGCCGGUAUCUUCCCGGUGAGCUGGUUACGGUCGAGGCCGAUGUAGCCAAGGCCGGGGAUGGUGGAGAGGGAGUCGGGGAUGCUGCCGGUGAGCUUGUUGAAGGAGAGGUCGAGGUGGGUGAGGUUCUUGAGCUGGCCGAGGAAGGAGGGGAUUGGGCCGGUGAGAUUGAGCCAGCUGAGAGUCAGGAAAUUCAGGUACUUGAGCUUGGUAAAGGACUCUGGGAUCGGGCCGGUGAAGUUGGAGAUCUUGUGGAGGGUGAGGUCUUGGAGGUAAGUGAGGUCGCCGAUGGCGGAGGGGAUUUGGCCAGGGAGGUGGGAGGCGAGGAAGAAGAGGGAGAUGACGCGGUGGG
Molecule: long non-coding RNA, 43888 nt
Filed under: Eucalyptus grandis
Lineage: Eukaryota; Viridiplantae; Streptophyta; Magnoliopsida; Myrtales; Myrtaceae
Description: long non-coding RNA (EGRA_LNC000329)
Source: RNAcentral